Molecule: signal recognition particle RNA, 262 nt
Filed under: Clostridiales bacterium
Lineage: Bacteria; Bacillati; Bacillota; Clostridia; Eubacteriales
Description: signal recognition particle sRNA large type
Rfam family: Bacterial large signal recognition particle RNA
About the family: The signal recognition particle (SRP) is a universally conserved ribonucleoprotein involved in the co-translational targeting of proteins to membranes. Archaeal SRP consists of a 7S RNA and homologues of the eukaryotic SRP19 and SRP54 proteins.
Source: RNAcentral
CCACGCAGCCGGGGAGUUAGCGGUGCCCUAUACCUGCAAUCCGCUUUAGCAGGGGUGAUAUUUGGUUUCGGAUACUUGUUUGUAGAGCUGCCUUUUAUAAGUGGCGUUGACGUCUGGGUCUUAUGCAAUAGGAAUCUACGAAUCGUGUCAGGUCAGGAAUGGAGCAGCACUAAGUAGAACCUCUUAUGUGACGUAAGGCAACCUGGACUGAGUUAACUGUAUUAGUAACGUCUGUGAGCAGUAUACAACACCAGAUGCGUGG